AGAGUUUGAUCAUGGCUCAGGAUGAACGCUAGCGGCAGGCCUAACACAUGCAAGUCGAGGGGCAGCGGGUUCUAGCAAUAGAAUGCCGGCGACCGGCGCACGGGUGCGUAACGCGUAUACAAUUUGCCUUAUACUGGGAGAUAGCCCGGAGAAAUUCGGAUUAAUAUCCCAUAAUAUUGUUGGACAGCAUUGUUUGAUAAUUAAAGCUACGGCGGUAUGAGAUGAGUAUGCGUCUGAUUAGCUAGUUGGUGAGGUAAUGGCUCACCAAGGCAACGAUCAGUAGGGGGCCUGAGAGGGUUAUCCCCCACACUGGUACUGAGACACGGACCAGACUCCUACGGGAGGCAGCAGUGAGGAAUAUUGGUCAAUGGAGGCAACUCUGAACCAGCCAUGCCGCGUGUAGGACGAAGGCCCUAUGGGUUGUAAACUACUUUUAUUGGGGAAGAAACCUUUCUACGUGUAGAGAGCUGACGGUACCCAAGGAAUAAGGACCGGCUAACUCCGUGCCAGCAGCCGCGGUAAUACGGAGGGUCCAAGCGUUAUCCGGAAUCAUUGGGUUUAAAGGGUGCGCAGGCGGUAAAGUAAGUCAGUGGUGAAAUCUCUCGGCUCAACCGAGAAACUGCCAUUGAUACUGCUAUACUUGAAUAUAGUCGAAGUGGGCGGAAUGUGACAUGUAGCGGUGAAAUGCUUAGAUAUGUCACAGAACACCGAUAGCGAAGGCAGCUCACUAGACUAACAUUGACGCUCAUGCACGAAAGCGUGGGGAGCGAACAGGAUUAGAUACCCUAGUAGUCC
RNAcentral lists this ribosomal RNA (795 nucleotides) under uncultured bacterium. Its description in RNAcentral is "bacterial SSU rRNA". It matches the Rfam family "Bacterial small subunit ribosomal RNA", at positions 8 to 796 of the family's 1533-position model. The record is from RNAcentral.